AGAGUUUGAGUCCUGGGCUCAGGACGAACGCUGGCGGCGUGCCUAACACAUGGCAAGUCGAGCGGGGACAUACGACGGACAGGGAAGUUUUCGGGAUGGAAUGGAAGAUGUAUGUUCUAGCGGCGGACGGGUGAGUAACGCGUGAGCAACCUGUCCUUCACAGGGGGAUAACACAGCGAAAGUUGUACUAAUACCGCAUGAGACCACAGCGGGACAUCCCGCAGGGGUCAAAGGAGCAAUCCGGUGAAGGGUGGGCCCGCGUCUGAUUAGCUAGUUGGUGGGGCAACGGCCUACCAAGGCGACGAUCAGUAGCCGGCCUGAGAGGGUGAACGGCCACAUUGGGACUGAGACACGGCCCAAACUCCUACGGGAGGCAGCAGUGGGGAAUAUUGGGCAAUGGGGAAACCCUGACCCAGCAACGCCGCGUGAGGGAAGAAGGUUUCGGAUCGUAAACCUCUGUCCUUGGUGAAGAGAAAGAGACGGUAGCCAAGGAGGAAGCCCGGCUAACUACGUGCC
This 516-nucleotide ribosomal RNA is filed under the name uncultured bacterium. RNAcentral's name for it is "bacterial SSU rRNA". It matches the Rfam family "Bacterial small subunit ribosomal RNA", at positions 8 to 509 of the family's 1533-position model. The record is from RNAcentral.